UACGUAGGGUGCAAGCGUUGUUCGGAAUUAUUGGGCGUAAAGCGUAUGUAGGUGGGUUGAUAAGUCAGGUGUGAAAUCCCGCGGCUUAACCGCGGAAUUGCGCUUGAAACUAUCAGUCUUGAGGAUGGAAGAGGUGAAUGGAAUUCCUAGUGUAGAGGUGAAAUUCGUAGAUAUUAGGAGGAACACUCGUGGCGAAGGCGGUUCACUGGUCCAUUCCUGACGCUGAGAUACGAAAGCGUGGGUAGCAAACAGG
Molecule: ribosomal RNA, 253 nt
Filed under: uncultured bacterium
Lineage: Bacteria
Description: partial 16S ribosomal RNA
Rfam family: Bacterial small subunit ribosomal RNA
Source: RNAcentral